GAUGAACGCUGGCGGCGUGCCUAAUACAUGCAAGUCGAGCGAACAGACGAGGAGCUUGCUCCUCUGACGUUAGUGGCGGACGGGUGAGUAACACGUGGAUAACCUACCUAUAAGACUGGGAUAACUUCGGGAAACCGGAGCUAAUACCGGAUAAUAUAUUGAACCGCAUGGUUCAAUAGUGAAAGACGGUUUUGCUGUCACUUAUAGAUGGAUCCGCGCCGCAUUAGCUAGUUGGUAAGGUAACGGCUUACCAAGGCAACGAUGCGUAGCCGACCUGAGAGGGUGAUCGGCCACACUGGAACUGAGACACGGUCCAGACUCCUACGGGAGGCAGCAGUAGGGAAUCUUCCGCAAUGGGCGAAAGCCUGACGGAGCAACGCCGCGUGAGUGAUGAAGGUCUUCGGAUCGUAAAACUCUGUUAUUAGGGAAGAACAAAUGUGUAAGUAACUACGCACGUCUUGACGGUACCUAAUCAGAAAGCCACGGCUAACUACGUG
Molecule: ribosomal RNA, 497 nt
Filed under: uncultured bacterium
Lineage: Bacteria
Description: partial 16S ribosomal RNA
Rfam family: Bacterial small subunit ribosomal RNA
Source: RNAcentral